ACGAACGCUGGCGGCGUGCUUAACCCAUGCAAGUCGCACGGAAAGGCCCUGCUUUUGUGGGGUGCUCGAGUGGCGAACGGGUGAGUAACACGUGAGUAACCUGCCCUUGACUUUGGGAUAACUUCAGGAAACUGGGGCUAAUACCGGAUAGGAGCUCCUGCUGCAUGGUGGGGGUUGGAAAGUUUCGGCGGUUGGGGAUGGACUCGCGGCUUAUCAGCUUGUUGGUGGGGUAGUGGCUUACCAAGGCUUUGACGGGUAGCCGGCCUGAGAGGGUGACCGGCCACAUUGGGACUGAGAUACGGCCCAGACUCCUACGGGAGGCAGCAGUGGGGAAUAUUGCACAAUGGGCGGAAGCCUGAUGCAGCAACGCCGCGUGCGGGAUGACGGCCUUCGGGUUGUAAACCGCUUUCGCCUGUGACGAAGCGUGAGUGACGGUAACGGGUAAAGAAGCACCGGCUAACUACGUG
RNAcentral lists this ribosomal RNA (467 nucleotides) under uncultured bacterium. RNAcentral's name for it is "partial 16S ribosomal RNA". It matches the Rfam family "Bacterial small subunit ribosomal RNA", at positions 29 to 507 of the family's 1533-position model. The record is from RNAcentral.